Molecule: ribosomal RNA, 203 nt
Filed under: uncultured bacterium
Lineage: Bacteria
Description: partial 16S ribosomal RNA
Rfam family: Bacterial small subunit ribosomal RNA
Source: RNAcentral
UACGUAGGGUGCAGGCGUUAAUCGGAAUUACUGGGCGUAAAGCGUGCGCAGGCGGUCUUUUAAGUCAGAUGUGAAAUCCCCGGGCUUAACCUGGGAACUGCGUUUGUGACUGCAAGGCUUGAGUGCGGCAGAGGGGAUGGAAUUCCGCGGUGUAGCAGUGAAUGCGUAGAUAAUCGAGAGGAACACCUGCGGCGAAGGCGGGA